Molecule: long non-coding RNA, 676 nt
Filed under: Mustela putorius furo (domestic ferret)
Lineage: Eukaryota; Metazoa; Chordata; Mammalia; Carnivora; Mustelidae
Description: lncRNA (ENSMPUG00000028513.1)
Source: RNAcentral
GAUGGCAGUGGGGAGGGAGGAAGGAGACUUGGGCAGCCGACAGAGGGGGCCAUGUUUCUGCAGGUGAGGACUCCAUUAGCACCCUGGGCCUGAUCCUCGGCGUGGGACUCUCGUUGCUGCUUGUGUCCAUCCUGGGCUACAGCCUGGCCAAGUGGUACCAGCGUGGGUACUGCUGGGAGGUUUUUUAUAGAUGGAGCAAGAAGUCUGAAGUCACAGGGUUCAAGAGUGGUACAGUCUGGAUUCAAGCCCAGGUCUGCUUCUUUUGGGCUCUACACUAGGACUGCCUCUUUCCCAGGGCAAUUAGGGCAAAUCAUCCUUUAAGAAUCCCUUAAAGGCGGGGGAGGGGGGAUUCCUAGCCACAGGAUCUGCCCCGAAAAGCUGGUGGUUCUUUCUGGGAAGAUGGGCGUGUGGCAGGCAGAAGCCAAUGAAGGAGCUUGGGACCCUCCCACAGCAUCCUGAGGUCCAACCCAGCCACCUUGCUCCUCCCAGAUCGGGCGAGGGAGCACCAGAUAUUCCCAGAAACGUGAUGGACUGGUCUCCCUGGAGGUACUAACCCUCUCUUUUCUGAUUGUCUUUCUAGGGCCUAAUUUUGUCUUCAACUUGUACCAGAUCAGGUGAGUAGAUUCAGAGCAGAUCUGGGUGAGGUUAGGUAUGGAGCCCAAAUGCCCUGUUUCUC